This is a non-coding RNA of Chlorocebus sabaeus (green monkey), 1807 nucleotides long. Lineage: Eukaryota; Metazoa; Chordata; Mammalia; Primates; Cercopithecidae. The record is from RefSeq and is a predicted model, not a curated record.
AUGGCCUGUAACAGAGCUCUGGGGACUGAUAUCCUUCCACUGACUUUGGCACUGCCCAGGAGGCCGCAGCAGCAGCAACCAGAGAAGUCCCUGCAGCAACCCAACAGCCAGGUGGAUGCCUCUAUCUCCAGCUUCGUGGCAGACAGGACCUGUUAGGAUGCGGCCAUUGUGGGCAACAAGGACUCGCCCUCCAUCUGGGCCGCCAUCCAAGGGAAAACCUUCGUCAACAUCAUGCCAGAUGAGGUUGGUGUCCUGGUUGGCAAAGACUGGUCAAGCUUUUUCAUGAGUGGGCUGACACUGGGAGGCCAGAAAUGUACUGUGGUCCUGGUCUUACUGCUGCAGGAUGGGGAAUUGACUGUGGAUCUUCAUAUGAAGAGCAUCAGUGGAGCCCCCACCUUCAAUGUCAUUGUCACGAUGAUUGCCAAGACACUAGGCCUGCCGAUGGGCAAAGAAGGUGUCCACAGCAGUUUCAUCAACAAGCAGUGUUAUGAAAUGGCCUCCCACCUUCAGUGUUCUCAGUACUGACCUCCUUUUUUCCUUCCCCUCCACUGCUUUCCACAGCUUUGCCCCCCUUUCCAUCUCAUACAUACACCAUUUUAAUUUCAGGGGCCAUCACCCCACACACCUUAUUGCUGCCAAAACCACAUGGGGGCCAGGGAUAGAUGGACAGACACCUUCCCCUACCCAUACCCCUCCUGUGUGUGGUUGAAAAACUUUUUUGUUUUGAGGGAUUUUUUUUAUAAAUAAAAAAGAUUCUACUAAAAACAUUAAAUAACUGUACAUAUGUGAGCAUAUUGUUUGAUCUGUAUUCUUUGACUUUGAUAUGUUUAUGAAUAGUUACACCAUUACUACCAUUUUUAAAUUACUGUAGCUUUAAAAUCAGGUUUGAAAUCUAGCAGAGUAAGUCCUCCAACAUAUUGCUUCUUCAAGACCGACUUGCUUAUUCCAGGUUGUUUGAUUUUCAAAUACAUUUUGAAAUUAGCUUUUAAAUGCCUCUAAAAUCUCCUACUAGAAAGAUUAAUCAGAAUUGUGUUGAUGUAAUAUGCUAACAAAAUUGAGUCUUCCAAUCAAAGAACAUGAUACAUAUUUAUUUAGUUUUCUUUAAUUUUUCUCACCAAUUGCUUUCAGAGGCCUUGUACCUGCUUCAUUGCAUGUAUUAAGCAUGUAAUGAUUCUGGCUAUUAAUCUCUAUUAUGUUUUAUUGAAUUUCAUUUUCUAGUUGCUUAUGCUAGUAUGGAGAAAUUAAGAUGAUGAAAUCAACUUCAUAAAGGUAUAAUUUAGGUACAACAGACGGCACCACUUUAAAAUGUGUAAUUCAAUGCAUGUUUACAAAUGUAUACACCAAUGGAACUACUGCCACAACCAAGAUAGAGGAAUUUCCCUAUAUUUCCCUAUGCCCCAAAGUUUCUUGUACCCCUUUGCAGUUCAUCCAUCUUUCAACCCUUGGCCCCAAGGAGCCGCUGUCACUUCAGGUCUGUUUGCAUUUUUAACCAUUUUCUAUAAAUGAAAUGAUACCUGUGUUCUUUUGUGUCUCCCUUCUUUCAUGCAUCAAUGUAAUUUUAAAAUCCAUCCAUAUGAGUAUUUACAUCAGCAAGUAAUGCCUUGUAAUUGCUGAGUAGUAUUCCUUCGUGUGGCUAUACCUUGUAUGUUUGUACUUUCACUUGUUACUGGACAUUUCUAUCAUUCCACAUUUGGGCUAUUACAAAGAAACUAUCAUGAGCAUCCCUACGUGGCAGGCCAGGUCUCACCACCACAGGCCUCCCCAGCAACUGUUUCAGGACCGACUGGUUCAGUUAAACAUUAAGAGG